RNAcentral lists this ribosomal RNA (731 nucleotides) under Streptomyces sp. RNAcentral's name for it is "bacterial SSU rRNA". It matches the Rfam family "Bacterial small subunit ribosomal RNA", at positions 74 to 819 of the family's 1533-position model. The record is from RNAcentral. Lineage: Bacteria; Bacillati; Actinomycetota; Actinomycetes; Kitasatosporales; Streptomycetaceae.
CCUCCUUCGGGAGGGGAUUAGUGGCGAACGGGUGAGUAACACGUGGGCAAUCUGCCCUGCACUCUGGGACAAGCCCUGGAAACGGGGUCUAAUACCGGAUACUGAUCAUCUUGGGCAUCCUUGGUGAUCGAAAGCUCCGGCGGUGCAGGAUGAGCCCGCGGCCUAUCAGCUUGUUGGUGAGGUAAUGGCUCACCAAGGCGACGACGGGUAGCCGGCCUGAGAGGGCGACCGGCCACACUGGGACUGAGACACGGCCCAGACUCCUACGGGAGGCAGCAGUGGGGAAUAUUGCACAAUGGGCGAAAGCCUGAUGCAGCGACGCCGCGUGAGGGAUGACGGCCUUCGGGUUGUAAACCUCUUUCAGCAGGGAAGAAGCGAAAGUGACGGUACCUGCAGAAGAAGCGCCGGCUAACUACGUGCCAGCAGCCGCGGUAAUACGUAGGGCGCGAGCGUUGUCCGGAAUUAUUGGGCGUAAAGAGCUCGUAGGCGGCUUGUCGCGUCGGUUGUGAAAGCCCGGGGCUUAACCCCGGGUCUGCAGUCGAUACGGGCAGGCUAGAGUUCGGUAGGGGAGAUCGGAAUUCCUGGUGUAGCGGUGAAAUGCGCAGAUAUCAGGAGGAACACCGGUGGCGAAGGCGGAUCUCUGGGCCGAUACUGACGCUGAGGAGCGAAAGCGUGGGGAGCGAACAGGAUUAGAUACCCUGGUAGUCCACGCCGUAAACGGUGGGCACUAG